RNAcentral lists this ribosomal RNA (440 nucleotides) under uncultured bacterium. Its description in RNAcentral is "bacterial SSU rRNA". It matches the Rfam family "Bacterial small subunit ribosomal RNA", at positions 958 to 1398 of the family's 1533-position model. The record is from RNAcentral.
AACGCGAAGAACCUUACCUGGGCUCGAAGCGCAGUGGAAUCCGGUGGAAACAUCGGCGCCCGCAAGGGCCGCUGCGGAGGUGCUGCAUGGCUGUCGUCAGCUCGUGUCGUGAGAUGUUGGGUUAAGUCCCGCAACGAGCGCAACCCUUAUCUCUAGUUGCCAUCGGGUCAAGCCGGGCACUCUAGCGAAACCGCCUGGGAUAACCAGGAGGAAGGUGGGGAUGACGUCAAGUCCUCAUGGCCUUUAUGUCCAGGGCUACACACGUGCUACAAUGGUCGGUACAAACCGUCGCAAACCUGCGAAGGGGAGCUAAUCGGAAAAAGCCGGCCUCAGUUCGGAUUGGAGUCUGCAACCCGACUCCAUGAAGCUGGAAUCGCUAGUAAUCGCAGAUCAGAACGCUGCGGUGAAUACGUUCCCGGGCCUUGUACACACCGUAGUAC